UACAGAGGGGGCAAGCGUUAUUCGGAAUUAUUGGGCGUAAAGGGCGCGUAGGUGGCUUGGCAAGUGGAAGGUGAAAUCCCUCGGCUUAACCGAGGAACUGCCCUCCAAACUGCUUGGCUUGAGACCGGGAGAGGUGAGUGGAAUUCCCAGUGUAGCGGUGAAAUGCGUAGAUAUUGGGAGGAACACCAGUGGCGAAGGCGGCUCACUGGACCGGUACUGACGCUGAUGCGCGAAAGCGUGGGGAGCAAACGGG
Molecule: ribosomal RNA, 253 nt
Filed under: uncultured bacterium
Lineage: Bacteria
Description: partial 16S ribosomal RNA
Rfam family: Bacterial small subunit ribosomal RNA
Source: RNAcentral